AGAGAGAGACAUGCGCGCAUAUCAAUAAGCGGAGGAAAAGCAACUAACAAGGAUUCCCCUAGUAACGGCGAGUGAAGCGGGAAGAGCUCAAAUUUGAAAUCUUAAAGGGUUUCCCUUUACGAAUUGUAGUUUAAAGAAGUGUUUUCUGUUGAGGUUUUGGUAAAAGUUCUUUGGAAUAGGACAUCAUAGAGGGUGAGAAUCCCGUAUUUGACCUUUACUUUCAACUUUGUGAUACACUUUCAAAGAGUCGGAUUGUUUGGGAAUGCAGUCCAAAAUGGGUGGUAAAUUUCAUCUAAAGCUAAAUAUUGGCGAGAGACCGAUAGCGAACAAGUACCGUGAGGGAAAGAUGAAAAGAACUUUGAAAAGAGAGUUAAACAGUACGUGAAAUUGUCAAAAGGGAAGCGUUUGACACCAGUGUUGUUUUUCUGAAAAUCAAUUAAAGAACUGUUUAUGCUAAGCUGUUUAGACUUUAUCAGCUAACUGUUUAGUUUUGAGCUUUUCUUUAAUGCACUUUUCAGUUAACAAGUCAACAUCAAUUUCUUUUGCUGUAAAAAAGCUUGAGGAAGGUGGCUUGAGAUUCGUCUUAAGUGUUUAUAGCCUCUUGCCUAUGCAGUCGGAGAGAUUGAGGUCUGCAGCGUAGAUCCUUCGGGGCUAAAUGCAUUUGUGCUAAGUUAUAGCAUUUUAUAGACAACUUGUUGACUAUGAUUUGUCUUGUAGCUUACUCGCUUAUGUUAUUUUACCUACGCUUAGGAUGUUGAUGUGAUACUGCGAGCA
Molecule: ribosomal RNA, 774 nt
Filed under: uncultured Neocallimastigales
Lineage: Eukaryota; Fungi; Neocallimastigomycota; Neocallimastigomycetes; Neocallimastigales
Description: partial large subunit ribosomal RNA
Rfam family: Eukaryotic large subunit ribosomal RNA
Source: RNAcentral